UACAGAGGUCCCAAGCGUUGUUCGGAUUCACUGGGCGUAAAGGGUGCGUAGGCGGUUGGGUAAGUCUGAUGUGAAAUCUCACAGCUUAACUGUGAAACUGCAUUGGAUACUAUCCGGCUAGAGGAAUGGAGGGGAGACUGGAAUACUUGGUGUAGCAGUGAAAUGCGCAGAUAUCAGGAGGAACACCGGUGGCGAAGGCGGAUCUCUGGGCCAUUACUGACGCUGAGGAGCGAAAGCGUGGGGAGCGAACAGG
Molecule: ribosomal RNA, 253 nt
Filed under: uncultured bacterium
Lineage: Bacteria
Description: partial 16S ribosomal RNA
Rfam family: Bacterial small subunit ribosomal RNA
Source: RNAcentral